This 1337-nucleotide ribosomal RNA is filed under the name uncultured bacterium. RNAcentral's name for it is "bacterial SSU rRNA". It matches the Rfam family "Bacterial small subunit ribosomal RNA", at positions 28 to 1381 of the family's 1533-position model. The record is from RNAcentral.
GACGAACGCUGGCGGCGUGCUUAACACAUGCAAGUCGAACGGUAAGGCCCUUCGGGGUACACGAGUGGCGAACGGGUGAGUAACACGUGGGUGAUCUGCCCUGCACUUCGGGAUAAGCCCGGGAAACUGGGUCUAAUACCGGAUAGUACUGCGCGGUGCAUGCCGUGUGGUGGAAAGAUUUAUCGGUGCAGGAUGGGCCCGCGGCCUAUCAGCUUGUUGGUGGGGUAAUGGCCUACCAAGGCGACGACGGGUAGCCGGCCUGAGAGGGCGACCGGCCACACUGGGACUGAGACACGGCCCAGACUCCUACGGGAGGCAGCAGUGGGGAAUAUUGCACAAUGGGCGCAAGCCUGAUGCAGCGACGCCGCGUGAGGGAUGACGGCCUUCGGGUUGUAAACCUCUUUCAGCAGGGACGAAGCGCAAGUGACGGUACCUGCAGAAGAAGCACCGGCCAACUACGUGCCAGCAGCCGCGGUAAUACGUAGGGUGCAAGCGUUGUCCGGAAUUACUGGGCGUAAAGAGCUCGUAGGCGGUUUGUCGCGUCGUCUGUGAAAACCAGCAGCUCAACUGUUGGCUUGCAGGCGAUACGGGCAGACUUGAGUAUUUCAGGGGAGACUGGAAUUCCUGGUGUAGCGGUGAAAUGCGCAGAUAUCAGGAGGAACACCGGUGGCGAAGGCGGGUCUCUGGGAAAUAACUGACGCUGAGGAGCGAAAGCGUGGGUAGCGAACAGGAUUAGAUACCCUGGUAGUCCACGCCGUAAACGGUGGGCGCUAGGUGUGGGUUUCCUUCCACGGGAUCCGUGCCGUAGCUAACGCAUUAAGCGCCCCGCCUGGGGAGUACGGCCGCAAGGCUAAGACUCAAAGGAAUUGACGGGGGCCCGCACAAGCGGCGGAGCAUGUGGAUUAAUUCGAUGCAACGCGAAGAACCUUACCUGGGUUUGACAUACACCGGAAAGCCGUAGAGAUACGGCCCCCCUUGUGGUCGGUGUACAGGUGGUGCAUGGCUGUCGUCAGCUCGUGUCGUGAGAUGUUGGGUUAAGUCCCGCAACGAGCGCAACCCUUGUCCUGUGUUGCCAGCGGAUAAUGCCGGGGACUCGCAGGAGACUGCCGGGGUCAACUCGGAGGAAGGUGGGGACGACGUCAAGUCAUCAUGCCCCUUAUGUCCAGGGCUUCACACAUGCUACAAUGGCCGGUACAGAGGGCUGCGAUACCGUGAGGUGGAGCGAAUCCCUUAAAGCCGGUCUCAGUUCGGAUCGGGGUCUGCAACUCGACCCCGUGAAGUCGGAGUCGCUAGUAAUCGCAGAUCAGCAACGCUGCGGUGAAUACGUUCCCGGGCCU